CAAAGGUUCUCUCAGUACGGUCGGAAAUCGUACGUAGAGUGUAAAGGCAAAAGAGAGCUUGAUUGCAAGACAUACAGGUCGAGCAAGGAUGAAAAUCGGACUUAGUGAGCCGGUGGUUCUGCGUGGAAGGGCCAUCGCUCAACGGAUAAAAGCUACCCUGGGGAUAACAGGCUUAUCUCCCCCAAGAGUCCACAUCGACGGGGAGGUUUGGCACCUCGAUGUCGGCUCAUCACAUCCUGGGGCUGUA
This 247-nucleotide ribosomal RNA is filed under the name Clostridioides difficile. RNAcentral's name for it is "partial 23S ribosomal RNA". It matches the Rfam family "Bacterial large subunit ribosomal RNA", at positions 2311 to 2557 of the family's 2925-position model. The record is from RNAcentral. Lineage: Bacteria; Bacillati; Bacillota; Clostridia; Peptostreptococcales; Peptostreptococcaceae.